GGAGAGAUGCUCGAGUGGUUUAAGAGGCACGCCUGGAAAGCGUGUAGUCGCCGAAAGCGGCACGUGGGUUCGAAUCCCACUCUCUCCGCAA
Molecule: transfer RNA, 91 nt
Filed under: Bacteroidetes bacterium HGW-Bacteroidetes-6
Lineage: Bacteria; Pseudomonadati; Bacteroidota
Description: tRNA-Ser
Rfam family: tRNA
About the family: Transfer RNA (tRNA) molecules are approximately 80 nucleotides in length. Their secondary structure includes four short double-helical elements and three loops (D, anti-codon, and T loops).
Source: RNAcentral